Spinacia oleracea (spinach) is the source of this 585-nucleotide long non-coding RNA. RefSeq lists it as uncharacterized. The transcript is spliced from 3 exons. The record is from RefSeq and is a predicted model, not a curated record. Lineage: Eukaryota; Viridiplantae; Streptophyta; Magnoliopsida; Caryophyllales; Amaranthaceae.
AUUGUUGUUUUGCAUUUUGCAAUGUAAUAUAAUGUGAAUUAUUAUUUUAUUGAUCAUUCAUGAUGUUAAUCUCACUCAGGACAAUGCCAAGCUAGUGAAAGAGGGGAAGGUCUAGAACAUGACGUACACAUUCAAAUGGAUUCCAACAAAUGUUCCCUUGGAUAAUCGUUGAUAUAUAUGUCUGGAUUAUCCCUUCUUUCAGCACCAGAGGACAAAAAAUGGAGGAAGCAGUAGAUCAAGAAGGAGAUUCGUCAUUAACGAAACCAAAUCAAAGAAUUGGCGGUCAUCUACACAUCAUCGCAAGAAUUUUGAGAGAUCACAUCUAUAUUAAUUUAGUUGUUAUUCGGUAAAUAUUUAAAAGGCGAAGAGUUAGAAAAGUUAAAUUCAAGAAAGAAGAAGAAUUGGGAAAUGAAGAUAAUGUUAAUAGGGAAGAGGGCAAGAAUGAGGACUUGAGGAAGAAGACGAUCAGAGUCAAAAUAAAUAUGUUUAUAUAUUAUGUUGUAGUUAUGUUUGAUAUAUUUUCUUAUGUUAACGAAUAUAAUACUUUAAUUACCUAAGUUGAUGAAUGAUUCAAUAGCUUAUAUC